AAAGGAGACUUCGGUCUCUGAGUAAAGUGGCGCACGGGUGCGUAACACGUAAGUAAUCUACCCCGAACUCUGGGAUAACCCUCCGAAAGGAGGGCUAAGACCGGAUAGGGUCCCCGAGGUGUAGGCUGCGGGGGGAAAACGGGCCUCUGUUUCAUGCUCGUGGUUUGGGAUGAGCUUGCGGCCCAUUAGCUUGUUGGCAGGGUAAUGGCCUACCAAGGCUACGAUGGGUAGCUGGUCUGAGAGGAUGAUCAGCCACACUGGCACUGAGACACGGGCCAGACUCCUACGGGAGGCAGCAGUGGGGGAUUUUGCGCAAUGGGCGAAAGCCUGACGCAGUAACGCCGCGUGGAGGAUGAAGGCCUUCGGG
This 367-nucleotide ribosomal RNA is filed under the name uncultured bacterium. RNAcentral describes it as "bacterial SSU rRNA". It matches the Rfam family "Bacterial small subunit ribosomal RNA", at positions 70 to 422 of the family's 1533-position model. The record is from RNAcentral.